GCAUGUUCACUGAGGUAAGGUAACCAUUUGUUGCAGGUGUGAACAUGCACAAGACCUGGAUUGCAAGAUUCCGUGGAAUUGUAGUGCAAGAGCUGGAUUUUUUUGGGCGAAAGCAACAAGAUUUGCAUGUUCACUGAGGUAAGGUAACCAUUUGUUGCAGGUGUGAACAUGCACAAGACCUGUGGAUUGCAAGAUUCUGUGGAUUUAUAGUGCCGGAGUCCCCAGUGUGCAGUUAUAGUGCAACGACCUAGAGUUCUGUGAAAGCUACAAGAUUUGCAUGUUCACAAAGGUUACCAGGCUAAGGAGCAUGUGUGAAAGGGAUCUUUUUAUCCCUACAUCCUGAUGCAGGCUGGGAUACUAGGGCUGAUGGGAUCUGCUUUAUCCCUGUGCCCUUCAGAUCAGGAUGGACUUUGGAAUCAAUUACCCCUACACCUGAUGCAGGACCACUUUCAGCAGGACUAUGGGAUCUGCUUUAUCCCUGUGUCCUUCAGAUCAAGAUGGACUUUGGAAUCAAUUACCCCUACACCCGAUGCAGGACCACUUUCAGCAGGACUAUGGGAUCUGCUUUAUCCCUGUGUCCUUCAGAUCAAGAUGGACUUUGGAAUCAAUUACCCCUACACCCAAUGCAGGACCACUUUCAGCAGGACUAUGGGAUCUGCUUUAUCCCUAUGUCUAUCAUUUUCAGUUGGCAAGCUACUAGGGGGCUACUAUUUCCCAGAGUACGCUUAUUUGUAGCUCAUUAGAGGGAUCUGUUAUAUCCCUCUGAAGACUGUGACUAUGGGAUCUCCUAUAUCCCAAUGUCAUUAGGGCUUAGCUAGGUGCAGGAAUAUAAAAUGGAAGGAAAACUUUGGAGUUUAUUCCAGUUUGCAGGAUGUGCGGUGAUAAACAUCCAUGACCGAGGCUCCGAUGUGAGACGUGGCUGUAAACCCAGAACAUGGUGAAAGACAACGGACGCCAAGAAGCCCCAGAUGGCUUCUCAUCAGUUUAAUUUUUAUAACAGCAUACAGCUUUCAUUAAGGAACAACCACAAGGCCACAAUAUAUGACAAAGAUGAGAGCUUGGUGAUGGCAGCAAUGCUAUUUAUCCCUACAGUUUUCAUUGAAGAACAACCACAAGGCUAUCUUGAUAACAUACAUGAUAGCAUUCAGCAUGGUGCUGACAACUACAUCUACAUGGCUACCCUGAUAUCACAGAUGGUAUAAUUCAGCAUGAUGACAGCAAUGCUUGGACAGGACCAAACACCGAGACAUCAACUUUGGACUUCUGCAUCUCCACCCUGCUGCCACUUUCAUCCUAGACUUCAGCACCUUCACACGUACCCUCACUGCAAUGACAUUCAACCUCACCUUAUCACCACAUGCACCACUCACCCUUUCACCGUUCACUUUCACCCUAGACUUCAGCACCUUCACAUGUACCCUCACUGCAAUGACAUUCAACCUCACCUUAUCACCACAUGCACCGCUCACCUGCACAUCAAUUCAUGCCUCCACCACAUUCACCUCCACUUUUGCACCAUCACAUUGGCAGCAAACAUCAAGUUGUCAACUCCGAGCUGCUGCAGUUCUUCCAGCUUGGAAUCUGCUCUCCUGAUGUGGUCAUUUCCUCAUCUGUCCGAGAUCUGUAGAGAUGUACUCCGCACACUUACAACAUGAAAGUUCCUACAACAUACAUGCAGGCUGGACCUGGUCAUGAGAAAUGGAUUUGUGAGGAUUGUCUUUCAGGAGUUGAAACUACUCAGGAGGUCGAAGCAAAGACUUUGUAGCUGAGCAAUAUCAACUGUUGCCAAGUGCCUUUUUUUCCAAAUCUUCACAGAACUGAUGGCCCUGAUGCUCUCUGUUGUCGGUCUUGCAAGAAGACCUGAACCCAGUGCUCAUACAGAGCCGUAUAGCCAGGAACUUGAACUUCUGUGACGUAUAGCAAGGACUGGACAAUGCUAGGCAUUUUGGAACCAAAUAUGGAACUCAGUCUGCAGCUUCGACUAGAACUUUUCAUCACCAUAACUGAUUUAUUUUUAAAGUGUAAAUCUUUUUGCAAAAAUGGUUUUUGUUUCGGCACAAUUAUUUUUAUGUAAAGAACAGUUAAAUAUAACAGCUGAUGUUUAGGCCUAGAAUUCUGGGGUUUUUUUGGUAAUGUUUCAAAGUUGAACUGGAAAGACAACAUUGAAUGAGGACGAAGAUCCAGUUUACAAUCAAUGGUAAUUACCAAAGAAAGAAAUUUAUCAAAGCAUUUUCAGAUUGCUAGCAUUACUUUAAUCUAAAAGUAACUGAAAUGAAUGGUUUAGAAGUUCAGUCCCAACCAUGCUUUGAAUUUACAUCCAAUUUUAUAUCCGUGCUGUUAGUACAGUGCCCUCAUUUUCAUGCCCCAAAAUACUGCCUUUUGGGAUUUUUUUUAAUGCUUAUAAUCACUACAGCACCUCUGAAUAAUUUAUUAACUCACAGGUGCAUCACCUUGUUUCUUUAAAUUUGUGAAAGUGAUCACACACUUAUACAUGUAUAUCCAAGAUUUGGAAAAGCUGCAACUUGCGUUUGAAAUGCCAUUAAAUGUUGCAGGGAUGCUUUAUGAAAGAAUUGAUAUUUUAAUAGUAAAAACAAGUGGAUAGAGCAUCGUUUCUUUUGGUUCAUUGGCAUAGCAUUAAGUGACUGCAACUCCCAUACAGAUGGAGGCAUAUUCAUUACAACUGCAGACAACCUAUAACAAAUUUCCUCUGGCAAUCAGUACCAUAGAAAAAGGUGGAGAUUUUGACAUCUGUGUUAAUGCAUCUCAUGGUGUAAAGCAUUCAGAGCGUUAAAGAUAUCAACUUGUGCUGUUUAGGUCAACUGUAGAGCAUUUUGAAAAAUGCAAAUUUAUCAUGAUUUAGAAUUCCUCUGCCAUUGUACGGGAACACUGAGUGAAGUGUUGAAGAGUGUUCUUGUAGGGAGGAAUUUUUGGUCGUUUGGGCAAAAGAAGCCAUGGUUUGGCCAAUGCAGUCCAUUAUGACUCAGAAUUUGAGGCAACAAUCCUUUGAAAUCUUGUAAAGUCACUUGUGGAUAUUGGAAAUAAGAUAGAACAAAAAAGAAAACGGUAUUAUUAAAUAACGUUGACAUUUAUCUCUACACAGUUAACUUGUCCUUACUGCAGUAAACUGAAGUCCAUGUGCUACAUUUUGCAAACAAGAUCGGCAAGACUACAUGUCCAUGCAGGUCUUUUACAUGUAUAGUACAUGUACAAUAAAAUGUUCUGUGAAGACUGACCGGUCGUUAUCAAUCUGAUUUAUAGUUUUAUUUUUUCAAUUUGGCAGUCAGUUCACAAUUCUGAAAUACGCUCAUUUCAAAUCCCAAUUUUCAAAAAAAUCAGUGUUAAUUAACCCUUUACCAAAUGUGACUUAUUUCUCAAACAGGCAAUCCAAAAAUUUAAGAAUAGAGAUGUUAUUGCAUAAAUUUCAUUUCAAGGAUUUGGUCAGCAAAAAUGUGUCAGUUUGUAAAAUUCUAACCAAAAUGCUUAAAAAAAUGCUGGAAGGAAAAUGUGACAAGUUACUGGACAUUUCUUCAAUUUCAAUUAUUUCACUUGCAAGAUAUAGAUUUGGCAAGAUAGCAAUGAAAUAAAAUGAGCAAAACUGACAAAUUUA
Long non-coding RNA from Acanthaster planci (crown-of-thorns starfish), 3607 nucleotides. The record is from RefSeq and is a predicted model, not a curated record. Lineage: Eukaryota; Metazoa; Echinodermata; Asteroidea; Valvatida; Acanthasteridae.